AUCGGACAACGACAAGCGAAUGGGAGGUCGACAUGUUCUUCGACAACGUAGUUAUCGCAGGCGUGGUAACGGUCGGGUUGAUGGUCACGUUCUUUGUCGGUCUGGGCAUUUUCAUCUGGAAGGAUUCCAGCAAGCGCAAGCCGCGCUGACUCUUCCGGAAUCACGAGCACGCAAGGCAUUUAGGGCGACUUCGGUCGCCCAUUUUUUUG
This 209-nucleotide small RNA is filed under the name Pseudomonas cremoricolorata. Its description in RNAcentral is "PhrS". It matches the Rfam family "PhrS". The record is from Rfam by way of RNAcentral. Lineage: Bacteria; Pseudomonadati; Pseudomonadota; Gammaproteobacteria; Pseudomonadales; Pseudomonadaceae.